GACGAACGCUGGCGGCGUGCUUAACACAUGCAAGUCGAACGGAAAGGCCCUGCUUUUGUGGGGUGCUCGAGUGGCGAACGGGUGAGUAACACGUGAGUAACCUGCCCUUGACUUUGGGAUAACUUCAGGAAACUGGGGCUAAUACCGGAUAGGAGCUCCUGCUGCAUGGUGGGGGUUGGAAAGUUUCGGCGGUUGGGGAUGGACUCGCGGUUUACCAGUUGGUUGGUGGGGUAGUGGCUUACCAAGGCUUUGACGGGUAGCCGGCCUGAGAGGGUGACCGGCCACAUUGGGACUGAGAUACGGCCCAGACUCCUACGGGAGGCAGCAGUGGGGAAUAUUGCACAAUGGGCGGAAGCCUGAUGCAGCAACGCCGCGUGCGGGAUGACGGCCUUCGGGUUGUAAACCGCUUUCGCCUGUGACGAAGCGUGAGUGACGGUAAUGGGUAAAGAAGCACCGGCUAACUACGUG
Molecule: ribosomal RNA, 468 nt
Filed under: uncultured bacterium
Lineage: Bacteria
Description: partial 16S ribosomal RNA
Rfam family: Bacterial small subunit ribosomal RNA
Source: RNAcentral